AACAGGAUUAGAUACCCUGGUAGUCCACGCCCUAAACGAUGUCUACUAGUUGUCGGGUUUUAAUUAACUUGGUAACGCAGCUAACGCGUGAAGUAGACCGUCUGGGGAGUACGGUCGCAAGAUUAAAACUCAAAGGAAUUGACGGGGACCCGCACAAGCGGUGGAUGAUGUGGAUUAAUUCGAUGCAACGCGAAAAACCUUACCUACCCUUGACAUGUCAGGAAGGCCGGAGAGAUUUGGCUGUGCCCGAAAGGGAACCUGAACACAGGUGCUGCAUGGCUGUCGUCAGCUCGUGUCGUGAGAUGUUGGGUUAAGUCCCGCAACGAGCGCAUCCCUUGUCAUUAGUUGCUACAUUCAGUUGGGCACUCUAAUGAGACUGCCGGCGACAAACCGGAGGAAGGUGGGGAUGACGUCAAGUCCUCAUGGCCCUUAUGGGUAGGGCUUCACACGUCAUACAAUGGUACAUACAGAGGGCCGCCAACCCGCGAGGGGGAGCUAAUCCCAGAAAGUGUAUCGUAGUCCGGAUCGCAGUCUGCAACUCGACUGCGUGAAGUUGGAAUCGCUAGUAAUCGCGGAUCAGCAUGUCGCGGUGAAUACGUUCCCGGGUCUUGUACACACCGCCCGUCACACCAUGGGAGCGGGUUUUACCAGAAGUAGGUAGCCUAACCGCAAGGGGGGCGCUUACCACGGUAGGAUUCGUGACUGGGGUGAAGUCGUAACAAGGUAACC
RNAcentral lists this ribosomal RNA (729 nucleotides) under uncultured bacterium. RNAcentral describes it as "bacterial SSU rRNA". It matches the Rfam family "Bacterial small subunit ribosomal RNA", at positions 771 to 1501 of the family's 1533-position model. The record is from RNAcentral.